RNAcentral lists this unclassified non-coding RNA (285 nucleotides) under fungal sp. RNAcentral's name for it is "partial internal transcribed spacer region". The stretch from base 1 to 46 matches the Rfam family "Eukaryotic small subunit ribosomal RNA", at positions 1786 to 1831 of the family's 1831-position model. The record is from RNAcentral. Lineage: Eukaryota; Fungi.
AAGUCGUAACAAGGUUUCCGUAGGUGAACCUGCGGAAGGAUCAUUCGUGUAAAUUAGUGCUGAGUCGGGUUAAAUGGGGUGAUACCCGCCGACUUGAGCUAUUAUACAUCCUUUUAACACUGUGAACUAUAAGAUGACCUAGUAGUGUUGACAUUGGCUCUGCUUUCGGGUAUCUAUUGUUAACCAGAAGCAGGCUUCUUGGGGCUUAUAUUAACCAAACUAUAUCAUUAUUGCCUAAAAUUUAUUUAAUAAUUACAACCUUUAACAAUGGAUCUCUUGGCUCCU